Myotis lucifugus (little brown bat) is the source of this 280-nucleotide long non-coding RNA. RefSeq lists it as uncharacterized. The record is from RefSeq and is a predicted model, not a curated record. The transcript has 2 exons. Lineage: Eukaryota; Metazoa; Chordata; Mammalia; Chiroptera; Vespertilionidae.
GUUGUUUUGGUUGUACAGUAUCAAGACAAUUCUGAUUUGCAUGGGAAGUUAACAAUAUGUGCAGAGAUGGCCGGAGAAACUGGACACUGAAGUCUGCAUUCUAACAAGGAACUGUAGAGCAGGUUAGCUCAUUAAUCUCCUUUGUGAUAAAAUUUGUAUAUAAACACAUUUGGAUAUGUAUGUGUGUGUUACCCUUGAAAAUGUACCAAAAACCAAAAUAAAAAUGAACAUCACCAAUAAUGAGAUACACUGAUCUCAUGAGUGAUGUGAUCUCCUAAAA